CCCCGUACACAAAAAUGCACAUGCUGUGAGCUCGAUGAGUAGGGCGGGACACGUGGUAUCCUGUCUGAAUAUGGGGGGACCAUCCUCCAAGGCUAAAUACUCCUGACUGACCGAUAGUGAACCAGUACCGUGAGGGAAAGGCGAAAAGAACCCCGGCGAGGGGAGUGAAAAAGAACCUGAAACCGUGUACGUACAAGCAGUGGGAGCACGCUUAGGCGUGUGACUGCGUACCUUUUGUAUAAUGGGUCAGCGACUUAUAUUCUGUAGCAAGGUUAACCGAAUAGGGGAGCCGAAGGGAAACCGAGUCUUAACUGGGCGUUAAGUUGCAGGGUAUAGACCCGAAACCCGGUGAUCUAGCCAUGGGCAGGUUGAAGGUUGGGUAACACUAACUGGAGGACCGAACCGACUAAUGUUGAAAAAUUAGCGGAUGACUUGUGGCUGGGGGUGAAAGGCCAAUCAAACCGGGAGAUAGCUGGUUCUCCCCGAAAGCUAUUUAGGUAGCGCCUCGUGAAUUCAUCUCCGGGGGUAGAGCACUGUUUCGGCAAGGGGGUCAUCCCGACUUACCAACCCGAUGCAAACUGCGAAUACCGGAGAAUGUUAUCACGGGAGACACACGGCGGGUGCUAACGUCCGUCGUGAAGAGGGAAACAACCCAGACCGCCAGCUAAGGUCCCAAAGUCAUGGUUAAGUGGGAAACGAUGUGGGAAGGCCCAGACAGCCAGGAUGUUGGCUUAGAAGCAGCCAUCAUUUAAAGAAAGCGUAAUAGCUCACUGGUCGAGUCGGCCUGCGCGGAAGAUGUAACGGGGCUAAACCAUGCACCGAAGCUGCGGCAGCGACACUAUGUGUUGUUGGGUAGGGGAGCGUUCUGUAAGCCUGUGAAGGUGUGCUGUGAGGCAUGCUGGAGGUAUCAGAAGUGCGAAUGCUGACAUAAGUAACGAUAAAGCGGGUGAAAAGCCCGCUCGCCGGAAGACCAAGGGUUCCUGUCCAACGUUAAUCGGGGCAGGGUGAGUCGACCCCUAAGGCGAGGCCGAAAGGCGUAGUCGAUGGGAAACAGGUUAAUAUUCCUGUACUUGGUGUUACUGCGAAGGGGGGACGGAGAAGGCUAUGUUGGCCGGGCGACGGUUGUCCCGGUUUAAGCGUGUAGGCUGGUUUUCCAGGCAAAUCCGGAAAAUCAAGGCUGAGGCGUGAUGACGAGGCACUACGGUGCUGAAGCAACAAAUGCCCUGCUUCCAGGAAAAGCCUCUAAGCAUCAGGUAACAUCAAAUCGUACCCCAAACCGACACAGGUGGUCAGGUAGAGAAUACCAAGGCGCUUGAGAGAACUCGGGUGAAGGAACUAGGCAAAAUGGUGCCGUAACUUCGGGAGAAGGCACGCUGAUAUGUAGGUGAAGCGACUUGCUCGUGGAGCUGAAAUCAGUCGAAGAUACCAGCUGGCUGCAACUGUUUAUUAAAAACACAGCACUGUGCAAACACGAAAGUGGACGUAUACGGUGUGACGCCUGCCCGGUGCCGGAAGGUUAAUUGAUGGGGUUAGCGCAAGCGAAGCUCUUGAUCGAAGCCCCGGUAAACGGCGGCCGUAACUAUAACGGUCCUAAGGUAGCGAAAUUCCUUGUCGGGUAAGUUCCGACCUGCACGAAUGGCGUAAUGAUGGCCAGGCUGUCUCCACCCGAGACUCAGUGAAAUUGAACUCGCUGUGAAGAUGCAGUGUACCCGCGGCAAGACGGAAAGACCCCGUGAACCUUUACUAUAGCUUGACACUGAACAUUGAGCCUUGAUGUGUAGGAUAGGUGGGAGGCUUUGAAGUGUGGACGCCAGUCUGCAUGGAGCCGACCUUGAAAUACCACCCUUUAAUGUUUGAUGUUCUAACGUUGACCCGUAAUCCGGGUUGCGGACAGUGUCUGGUGGGUAGUUUGACUGGGGCGGUCUCCUCCUAAAGAGUAACGGAGGAGCACGAAGGUUGGCUAAUCCUGGUCGGACAUCAGGAGGUUAGUGCAAUGGCAUAAGCCAGCUUGACUGCGAGCGUGACGGCGCGAGCAGGUGCGAAAGCAGGUCAUAGUGAUCCGGUGGUUCUGAAUGGAAGGGCCAUCGCUCAACGGAUAAAAGGUACUCCGGGGAUAACAGGCUGAUACCGCCCAAGAGUUCAUAUCGAC
Molecule: ribosomal RNA, 2149 nt
Filed under: Escherichia coli
Lineage: Bacteria; Pseudomonadati; Pseudomonadota; Gammaproteobacteria; Enterobacterales; Enterobacteriaceae
Description: partial 23S ribosomal RNA
Rfam family: Bacterial large subunit ribosomal RNA
Source: RNAcentral